UGAUCCAGAGUACCACGGGACACGUGAAACCCUGUGGGAAGCAGGAGGGACCACCCUCCAAGGCUAAAUACUACCUAGUGACCGAUAGCGUAUAGUACCGUGAGGGAAAGGUGAAAAGAACCCCGGGAGGGGAGUGAAAUAGAACCUGAAACCCUGCACUUACAAGCUGUGGAAGCACAUUUCUUGUGUGACCGCGUACUUUUUGUAGAACGGGCCAACGAGUUACGUUAAGUAGCAAGGUUAAGCACUUAAGGUGCGGAGCCGUAGCGAAAGCGAGUUUUAACUGAGCGUUCAGUUACUUGACGUAGACCCGAAACCGGGCGACCUACCCAUGAGCAGGAUGAAGCGAAAGUAAAAUUUCGUGGAGGUCCGAACCCACGAGCGUUGAAAAGCUCGGGGAUGACUUGUGGGUAGCGGUGAAAUUCCAAUCGAGCCCGGAGAUAGCUGGUUCUCCCCGAAAUAGCUUUAGGGCUAGCCUCAAGGUGAGAGAUACGGAGGUAGAGCACUGAAUGUCCUAGGGGGUAUUGCACCUACCGAAGACUAUCAAACUCCGAAUGCCGUCAUCUUAUACUUGGGAGUCAGACUGUGGGUGAUAAGAUUCAUAGUCGAAAGGGCAACAGCCCAGAUCGUCAGCUAAGGUCCCUAAAUGUAAGUUAAGUGGUAAAGGAUGUGGGAUUGCACAGACAACCAGGAUGUUGGCUUAGAAGCAGCCACUCAUUCAAAGAGUGCGUAAUAGCUCACUGGUCGAGUGAUCCUGCGCCGAAGAUUUCCGGGGCUAAAACUUACUACCGAAGCUACGGCAUCAGUAAUGAUGGGUAGGGGAGCUUCCCAUACGGGUUGAAGCAUGACCGUAAGGACAUGUGGACAGUAUGGGAGUGAGAAUGUUGGCAUGAGUAGCGAGAUGUGGGUGAGAAUCCCACAGGCCGUAAACCCAAGGUUUCCAGGGGAAGGUUCGUCCGCCCUGGGUUAGUCGGGACCUAAGCUGAGGCCGAAAGGCGUAGGUGAUGGACAACAGGUUGAUAUUCCUGUACUACCGAUAACCGUUUGAGAGAAGGGAUGACACAGUAGGAUAAGCUAAGCACACUGUUGGUUAUGUGUGCC
Molecule: ribosomal RNA, 1101 nt
Filed under: Clostridioides difficile
Lineage: Bacteria; Bacillati; Bacillota; Clostridia; Peptostreptococcales; Peptostreptococcaceae
Description: partial 23S ribosomal RNA
Rfam family: Bacterial large subunit ribosomal RNA
Source: RNAcentral